This 301-nucleotide ribosomal RNA is filed under the name uncultured bacterium. Its description in RNAcentral is "partial 16S ribosomal RNA". It matches the Rfam family "Bacterial small subunit ribosomal RNA", at positions 509 to 809 of the family's 1533-position model. The record is from RNAcentral.
CAGUAGCCGCGGUAAUACGAAGGGUGCAAGCGUUAAUCGGAAUUACUGGGCGUAAAGCGUGCGUAGGCGGUGAGUUAAGUCUGCUGUGAAAUCCCCGGGCUCAACCUGGGAAUGGCAGUGGAUACUGGCUCGCUAGAGUGUGUCAGAGGAUGGUGGAAUUCCCGGUGUAGCGGUGAAAUGCGUAGAGAUCGGGAGGAACAUCAGUGGCGAAGGCGGCCAUCUGGGACAACACUGACGCUGAGGCACGAAAGCGUGGGGAGCAAACAGGAUUAGAUACCCCCGUAGUCCCUGUCUCUUAUAA